AUUCCCCUAACAGGCAGUUUCUAAUGUAUUUCUAAUACAGAGAAGAUUAGCAUGGCCCCUGUGCAAGGACGACACGCAAAUUCUUGAAGCAUACCAUGUUUUU
This 103-nucleotide small nuclear RNA is filed under the name Meriones unguiculatus (Mongolian gerbil). Lineage: Eukaryota; Metazoa; Chordata; Mammalia; Rodentia; Muridae. The record is from RNAcentral.